GUAGGCAGGAGUGAGCCUCGACAUCCAUGUCUGUACAAUGGGCUCCUGACUCCCUGGCCAUAGAUGAUUGGAGCUGAGGGCUAGAAAGCCAUGGAGGAAGAUUUUAAACCCAGAUCUGCAGAGAACCAAAGCUAAUGAUGAUGUUUUCACUACUCCACAUUGUGAUACCAAAACAAACAAACAAACAAAAACUGUGACUGAUCUGAUAUCCUGUAGGUAAAUUCUGAUUAACAGGCUUUUGACCUUGGCUAUGUUAAAUGUCUGUCAUAAUAACAUCAAAUAUUUUAUAUAUUCAGGUACAGGGAGGAUGACCUGUUAGACCCAAUCUAUUAAGGAUAUUUCUGCAUUUUCUAAAUUAAUCAUUGCUACAUCUAGUAGGAGCAGAGGACAAUAAUUUUUCACACCUUAUUCAUAAGGGUGGAAUACCCAAAAGCCAGAGAAGCCAUGUCUUGGACCACCGGGGUGACCCAGCCUGCAUGACACAGCGCUGGGCAGGGUACCCGCAAGUCACUCAAAUCACCUUGGCCAGCAGUUCACCUUGCAGCCCUCCCCUGGGAAUGGUGUGACCCGGCAGGGAAGAGCUGCAUUAGGCAGCCCCCUCGAGGCCCUUUGGCACAGUCUGCUGGAGAGCUGAGCACUCAGCCAAAGUCUGCAGGAAGCUUCCCUUGGUAAGAUUUGUUGGAGCUACUUUCUGCUUCUAUUUUCUAUCCCCAUUCCUGUUUUAGUAUCUGUUUUUGUUUCCAAAUUAUGACACGGCAUGAAAUCUGCCUUCUCUGUUCUCCUGUGGAACCAGGAGGUGUAUGAGUAAGUAGGUAUUUAAUACGUCAAAAGAGCAGGUCCUUCUCCUCACUUCUUAUCUAUGGCUUUAGGAGUUCAACACCCUUCUUUUGUCUUUUGUCCCUCAGCCCAAAUCACACCCAAAAGAUGCUCGAUCCUCUCUAGAUAUGGUGACUUAAAAAAAUAUGGACACUGGAUACAAAUAGAACAGAUUCAACAACUAACAUUGACUAAGUGCUUAUGCUCUGCCGAGUGCCUCAUAAUAGACACCUUAUCGCAUUGAAUUCUCACAGCAAGCCUGGGACAGUGUUGUAAUCAUAGUUCUUAUUUUGCAGAUAAGAAACAGACUCAAAAAGACACUGUAACUUAUCCAAGGCCACGCGUAUGGCCCGUAAAUGGCACGGCAGGGCUGGCACCCUUGGUCUGAGUUGUGUGUGUCUCGAAUGCCACACUGAACAGAAGGCCAGCUUUCCAGAUCGCCUGUGAUGGAACAGAAGGACUUUCCUCAGCCUGACCUCCAGGCUGACAGAGACCAGAAGGUAUCUCUCAUAAUAUGACAGAGCUCUGUGUUUGGAAAGCAUUGCGUUAGUCUAGGAUAAGGUAGACUCUGCGACAGAAAUAAAUCCCAAAGUGCUAGUGAUUUAGUGUAAUAAAAGUUCAUUUCUUGCUCAUGUAGAAUCCAUUGUGGGAGCCCACGCUGGUUGGAGACAGUGUGUGUGUGUGUGUGUGUGUGUGUAGAUGCUUCAGUUGACACCAUGAAUGGGAACUCAGGUGCCAGACCUCUGAGGGAAGAAGCCUCCAGAUGAAUCCUGCUCCUAACAUUGUAUUUACUUAUUUAUUUAUUGGCCACACGCACAGCAUGCACAAGUUCCUGGGCCAGGGAUUGAACCCAUGCCACAGCUGUAACUAGAGCCAUAGCAAUGACAACACCAGAUCCUUAACUCACUGACUGCUCUUAACAUUUUGUCACCUCCAGCUAGUCACAUCUUCUUCGCUAAAGCCCAGACGGCAUGGAGAGAGAGGUAAGUGGUCCUUGUCUGAAGUCUUCUCCAUGGCUCCACACCUGAACCUGUUAAAGUGAUUGAGGUUUGUGGGGAGGCUGUUUCUGCACUGAGAGAGAACCUCGGCAUCCACACUGGAUUUGCAUACGCUGCAGGGUUUACCUUCCCAUCACUCAACAAAUAUUUACUGAGCACAUACUAGGAACCAGAUGCUACUCUGGACAUACAUCAGUGAACAGGUAAAGCCUCAUGUUCCAUAGGAAAAAUAGUUGCUGGUUUUUCCAAAUAAUCAUUUUAAGUAUGUUUUCCUAGGAACAAAAGUAAUAUUUGCUUAUUCUAUGAAAUUUGAGAAAUAUACAAAGUUUUUAGAAAAUAGAAAAAAAAAUCCAGCAGAAAAUGAUCAUCACCAUGCAGUAAUAAUGCGUGAUUACUCGCUUUUGUAUUAUCUUUUUUUUUUUUUUUUUUUGUCUUUUUUCUGUCUUUUUGUUGUUGUUGUUGUUGCUAUUUCUUGGGCCGCUCCCGCGGCACAUGGAGGUUCCCAGACUAGGGGUCAAAUCGGAGCUGUAGCCACCGGCCUACGCCAGAGCCACAGCAACGCAGGAUCCGAGCCGUUUCUGCAACCUACACCACAGCUCACAGCAACGCGGGAUCGUUAACCCACUGAGCAAGGGCAGGGACCGAACCCGCAACCUCAUGGUUCCUAGUCGGAUUCGUUAACCACUGCGCCACGACGGGAACUCCUCGCUUUUGUAUUAUCUUACACACACACACACACACACCCACACACAUGUAUAUGUGUGUGUCCAUUAUGUAUUCAAUUUUAUGUCAUUUUUUCCCGUUUAGAGUGCAUUGCAAACUCUUAAUCCCUAUUUGGGCUGCUUAUAACAAAAUACCUGAGCCAGGGUGACUUAUAAAUAACAGAAAUUUCUUUCUCACAGCUCUGGAAGCUGGGAAAUUCAAGGUCAGUAUACCUGCAGACUGACGGUCUGCUAAGAACACAGUUCCUGAUUCACAGAUGGCAUCUUUUUGUCGUGCCUUCACAUACGGGAAGGUGCAAGGGAGCUCUCUUGGGGCCUCUUUAUAAAGGCACUAAUCCCAUCCAUGAGAGCUCCACCCUCAUGACCUAAUCACCUCCCAAAGACCCUCACCUCCUAAUACCUUCACCUUGGGGGAUUAGGAUUUCAACUUUUGAAUUUUGAAGUGACACAAACCUUCAGACCGUAGCACAAACUUAUUCCCACAUCAUGAAAAUAUGAUAUUUAAUGGCUGCAUAUGGUUCCAUCCUGUAGCAAUACCAACUAUUUAUCCACGCCGCAACCAUUUCACAUUUCCGUUGAUUCCAGUGUUUCACUGUGAUAAGCAACGCCUUGAAGAACCAUCUUGUACAUGAGUCUUUGGCUUCAUCACCGAUUAGUUGUUUAGAAUAUAAUCAGAGAAGUGGGAUUACCGGUUCAAAGGGCAUGCAAAUGCUCAUGUUCUUGAUAAAUAUUGCCAGGUUGCUUUCCAGAGUGUUAGCACCAAUUUACAUUUUCACCUGUAUUUUGUGAGAUGCCUUCUCCUGCCAAUAGUCAGUAUUAGAGUGUUUCUAAUCUUUGCCAAUUUGUUACAUUAAGGAAUGGUAUUUCAUUUUAAGACUGGUUCACUUCCUAGGUUGCUCAGUAAUUAUUGGGAUUUGCUUAAACCUGAGUUUUAAUCCCAGGUCUGGCACCUUCUAACAAGAUACGUAACCUCUCUAAGCAUCAAUUUUCUUUCCAUCAAAUGUUGAUAGUUAUUCGGACUUUUUGGGAUACUGUGUGGAUUAAAUGUGUUCAGGUUUAUAACUGUUUUAACGUUCUGUUUAACGUUCUGCCUGUCACAGAACGAAUAAAUGGUAGUUAUUAUCAUGGACAUGACAAUUCAAAAAUUAUCAACACAUGAAUAGUUUCAGCCUUUUUUCUUCCCUCUGUGUUUUCAUGAAGAGUCUCAUUUUGCUCAACUGUAUUUCUUUCCCUUCUCCUCUGAAGGGGGGCUGCCUUUCUUUGGGGCUUUUGUGAAUUAGAAUUAGUAGGAAUGAGAGGGGAAAAAAGCACAAAGAGACACGCUGACCAGGGACAGACCACCCAAUACCCAGCGGCUAACAAUAAUGCACAUGGAUCUGGUAGUGGCUACAAGUAGCCCUGGUGGUGGCUGGGCUCAGCUGGGUGGUUCUGCUUUAGUCUGUGAGCUGACUGGGCUUAGCUCCAGGCUGUGAAGGGGUUCAGGUCUGCCCCACCUGUGCUUGACCUGGGGCCUGUAUGGAAUGAGGAGAAAAUAGCCCAGGGUGUGUUCUCAUGUGAGAUCACCAGAGAAACGAGGUCAUCAUGCCAAAACCCACAGGCAAAUUUAAGGCCUGUGCACCUGUUAUACCUGUUAGUAUCCUACUGGCCAAAGCAAGUCAUGUGGCCCAGGCCAACAUCAGCGGGCGGGAAGUCUCCUUCCCCACAAUAGGGGGAAGGGAGUGACUGUGUUCUGAACAAAUGAUCAUAACGAGGAGUUCCAGGAAAUUUCAGGAAGAGGGUGCUCGACUGUGUGGUGUAAGGAAACUGGGAGAAAAGAAAAGUGGUCACGAGACAUGUUGGAUAUGGGUGAGAUUUUGCAGAUCAGAAUCCUUUUAAUUUCUCAAAGUCUCUGGUCAGGAACUUGUAAAUUACCUUUUGUCUGUCUGGACUGGGCUUUAUCAAAUGGUACUUGCCCUCGGGACUGAGAGUGUGUGAUGGCUCGCCUGGUGCCACAUAGUGGAAACAAUUACCUUCAGAGCUUUUCCUCUUUGCAUGUCUUAGAACUUUCAAGCAUUUUCUGAUGGUUCUGUUUCUUUUUCUCCCGCUAGUGGAAGAGUAUGGAUAGUGACUCCCUAAUUGUAAUUACCAAGCGAGGCACAACAUCUCCACAGGAUGUGUGUCAGCCGCCCCAUUGCCAUCUCUUUGAGAAAAGAGACAUCAAGUUUGAGAAAACUUGGACUCUCCCUGAGGGCUGAGAAUGAGAGCAACCAACUGGGUCUCAAUCAUGGCUCAGAAGCUCCAAAGUCAAUCACAGAACCUUCCAAUGAAAUCAAAUUGAUAGCGAGCACAGGGCGUGACUCUGGUGAGAUAGAGCCAGAAGAGGUUUCCUGAGAGAACUGUGUCCUGCUAGCCGCCGUCAUUGUCUGUGUAAAAAGCUUCCCCUCGCCUCCCUGGAGACCGUUUACUUGGAACGUGACAGGUUCUCAAUGUCCUGGUCUCUGGGUUUGCUUAGUUCUGCAAACGGCUGCACAUCACAUGCAUAUCAUUACCCCACAUUCCCAGCAGGAUGAAGGGGCUUGUUAAUAGAUUCAUCCUGAAUUUUAAUUCUCACUUACUCUGAUGCUAAGUAGACCACCUAAACAUGGCUGUAUCAGCUCUGCUUCGUUCUCUAAAUGUUAUCUGUCUAUAACUUUACCCAAAACAUUUUUGCUUUGUUUCCAAGAAAGCAAUGUUUCUGACCUCUUUAAAAGAAAAAAUCCACGCCUUGGAGUUCCCAUCGUGGCUCAGUGGUUAACGAAUCCGACUAGGAACCAUGAGGUUGCAGGUUCGAUCCCUGGCCUUGCUCAGUGGGUUAAGGAUUUAGUAUUACCAUGAGCUGUGGUGUAGGUCGAAGAUGCGGCUUGGAUCUGGCAUUGCUGUGGCUGUGGCAUAGGGCAGUGUCUACAGCUCUGAUUAGACCCCUAGCCUGGGAACCUCCAUAUGCCACAGGUAUGGCCCUAGAAAAGGCAAAAAGACAAAAAAAAAAAAAAAAAAAAAA
This 5552-nucleotide long non-coding RNA is filed under the name Sus scrofa (pig). RNAcentral describes it as "lncRNA (ENSSSCG00065045477.1)". Lineage: Eukaryota; Metazoa; Chordata; Mammalia; Artiodactyla; Suidae. The record is from RNAcentral.